This is a long non-coding RNA of Brassica napus (rape), 1374 nucleotides long. RefSeq lists it as uncharacterized. NCBI's taxonomy places the organism in Eukaryota, Viridiplantae, Streptophyta, Magnoliopsida, Brassicales, Brassicaceae. The transcript has 2 exons. The record is from RefSeq and is a predicted model, not a curated record.
AAGACAAAUAGUACUCGUUGAAUUUUUAUCUUUUUUUUAAGUUUGCUGAUUUUUCAGGAAGACUAAACUAAUUGCUUUCUAACAGCUUGUAUUUUUUUUUUUAUAUAAAAAGAGAUUAAGUCAUGAAAAUGGCCAUGUUCGUGAGGUCACUGCGGCUGCGACACCGCGGCCUGCAACCAGCAACUAGUCUUAGAUCGCAUUUUGUAUUCAUUUUACUGUCACUUGACUGGUCGCUUUAUCAGUCAAAAGUCUUAUUUCAUAUAGUUAAAAAAUUAGUGACUAAAUAUAAAAAAAAAAAUUUUCUUGAUAAUCUAAAUAUAAAAUUUUCAAUGACCUGCAACUAGUCGCGCAAGAUUCUUCGACAAUCAAACAAACAAACAUUUGGUAACAGGUCGCAGUUGGCCAAUAUAUUUAUAUUCUAGAAAUAAACUGAAAUAAUCCAAAAAUAAAUAAUACCAACGAGUAAAAGGAAAACCCAUGGAUCGUGUUUGACACGAAUGACAAUUGUUAGGAUAAAACAAUAUAAGGUUCUUAGAGCAUCCGCAACGCGGAGAUUUCAUGAAUCCUUAGCACAUUAAUCUAGGAUGAUCUCAAUAAAAAAAUAUUAACAAGGCUGAGAUCAGUAAGGAACAUUCCGUAAAUAAGGUGUUUAAAGACUGAGUCCUUAGUGACGUGGCAACUUCAUGCACUCUUUCCUUCUCCUUCCUCCUUUCUUUUCGUUUUCCACUGAGGCCACCGAUCUCCGCCGGAGACUCUCUCUGAUUAUCCGCUCCCUCCUGUAUCUCUCUGAUUGACAGAUUUGAUUUCGUCUCUUCCUUAUUUCUUCCAAAACCCUCAAUUUUUUUCAAUUUGGGAGUAAAUCAAAGAUCUCUCUUUGUUGAUGGGCACUGCGGAGGUUUCUGAAUCUCCGGCGGAGAUAAUGAAGCGGUUAAUGUGGAUUUUGAUGACAAGCUCAGUUGGGAAUAUCUGUUCAAGGUAUAUUGGCUUUGCCUGAAGGAAGAGCUUUCUCUAACUGUCGACGAGCUUACUAGAGCAAAUAAUCCUUGGAAGGAGGUUCCCUACACUAUUAACAAACCUUAUUCUUCAGACAAUUCAGCUUUAGAUGUAGCAGUGAAUGGAACAAAAAGAAGAAGGACUAGUGAUUCCCCCAGCUUGAUGAUAUCAACAAACUCCACGAGAAGGUGGUAGGCACAAUUUUGAGGAUUAAGGUAUCUGGGGGCAACCAGAAGCUGGAUAUUCACAGGCGCUUAAUCGACUUAUGUUUCUUUGUUCAUUGCUUUAGCGAGCGAGGGAGCUGAUGUGAGAGCUUUGUUUGAGCUCAUACUUUUUUUUUCCAAAAAAUUCUUAAAUGGAAUACACUAUUGGACACACAUU